GGCGGACGGGUGAGUAACGCGUGGGAACGUGCCCUUCUCUACGGAAUAGUCCCGGGAAACUGGGUUUAAUACCGUAUACGCCCUUCGGGGGAAAAUUUAUCGGAGAAGGAUCGGCCCGCGUUAGAUUAGGUAGUUGGUGGGGUAAUGGCCUACCAAGCCUACGAUCUAUAGCUGGUUUGAGAGGAUGAUCAGCCACACUGGGACUGAGACACGGCCCAGACUCCUACGGGAGGCAGCAGUGGGGAAUCUUAGCACAAUGGGGGCAACCCUGAUCUAGCCAUGCCGCGUGAGUGAUGAAGGCCUUAGGGUCGUAAAGCUCUUUCGCUGGGGAAGAUAAUGACUGUACCCAGUAAAGAAACCCCGGCUAACUCCGUGCCAGCAGCCGCGGUAAUACGGAGGGGGUUAGCGUUGUUCGGAAUUACUGGGCGAAAGCGCGCGUAGGCGGAUUGGAAAGUUGGGGGUGAAAUCCCGGGGCUCAACCUCGGAACUGCCUCCAAAACUCCCAGUCUUGAGUUCGAGAGAGGUGAGUGGAAACUCCGAGUGUAGAGGUGAAAUUCGUAGAUAUUCGGAAGAACACCAGUGGCGAAGGCGGCUCA
Molecule: ribosomal RNA, 596 nt
Filed under: uncultured bacterium
Lineage: Bacteria
Description: bacterial SSU rRNA
Rfam family: Bacterial small subunit ribosomal RNA
Source: RNAcentral